Long non-coding RNA from Phoenix dactylifera (date palm), 689 nucleotides. RefSeq lists it as uncharacterized. The record is from RefSeq and is a predicted model, not a curated record. Lineage: Eukaryota; Viridiplantae; Streptophyta; Magnoliopsida; Arecales; Arecaceae.
CAAAACCAUUCUUUCUUGGGUUUAGAGAGUCCUGGCUCAUAGGCUCUUGGAUUUGAGAGAGGGAGGCAGGGAGCUAGGGAGAAAGAGAGAAUGGGACCAGGAGGGCCUGGACCUGGACCAGGUGGACCGGGUGGCGGCUUCGGGCCAGGAGGACCGGGUGGCGGCUUCGGACCAGGUGGACCGAGUGGCGGCUUCGGGCCAGGAGGACCGGGUGGCGGCUUCGGACCAGGUGGACCGGGUGGCGGCUUCGGACCAGGUGGACCGGGUUGGGGGGCAGGACCGGGUGGCGGUUUCGGAUUAGGGCUUGGUGGACCAUGCGGCUGCUUAUCUUCUUGCUUGAACUUCUUGUGUUGCUGCGGCUUGCUACGGGAAUGUUGUGGCCCGUUUGGGCCUCCACGUUGAUCGUGCCUGCUGAACCGUUUGAUGAGAUCGGGCGUGCAAUAAAUAUAGGACAUGGAUGCAUGUGCUUAUGCUUCAUAUCUUCCAUAUGUCUUGCAUAGACUUCUUUUAUUUCUUGUGCUCUUAAUAUAGAAGCUUUGGAUUUAGCAUGGAUUAUGAGCCGGCCCUCAGGCCUAAAUUCUAUUUAUUUUUAAUCGGGCUUCGGUCCGAGGCUAUGUAAAAUUUGAUAUUUUCUGUGCCCAAGUCCGACCUAUGAUCAGCUAUGGCAUGGAAUCAACCAGGCUGCGACA